GAGUUUGAUCCUGGCUCAGGACGAACGCUGGCGGCGUGCUUAACACAUGCAAGUCGAGCGGAAAGGCUCCUUCGGGGGUACUCGAGCGGCGAACGGGUGAGUAACACGUGAGUAAUCUGCCCCUGGCUUUGGGAUAGCCACCGGAAACGGUGAUUAAUACCGGAUAUGACCUGUCCAUGCAUGUGGGUGGGUGGAAAGUUUUUCGGCCAGGGAUGUGCUCGCGGCCUAUCAGCUUGAUGGUGAGGUAAUGGCUCACCAUGGCUUCGACGGGUAGCCGGCCUGAGAGGGUGACCGGUCACACUGGGACUGAGACACGGCCCAGACUCCUACGGGAGGCAGCAGUGGGGAAUAUUGGACAAUGGGCGGAAGCCUGAUCCAGCAACGCCGCGUGAGGGAUGACGGCCUUCGGGUUGUAAACCUCUUUCAGCAGGGACGAAGCGCGAGUGACGGUACCUGCAGAAGAAGCACCGGCCAACUACGUGCCAGCAGCCGCGGUAAUACGUAGGGUGCGAGCGUUGUCCGGAAUUAUUGGGCGUAAAGGGCUCGUAGGCGGUUUGUCGCGUCGGGAGUGAAAACCAGGUGCUUAACACCUGGCUUGCUUUCGAUACGGGCAGACUAGAGGCAUGCAGGGGAGAACGGAAUUCCUGGUGUAGCGGUGAAAUGCGCAGAUAUCAGGAGGAACACCGGUGGCGAAGGCGGUUCUCUGGGCAUGUCCUGACGCUGAGGAGCGAAAGUGUGGGGAGCGAACAGGAUUAGAUACCCUGGUAGUCCACACCGUAAACGUUGGGCGCUAGGUGUGG
RNAcentral lists this ribosomal RNA (800 nucleotides) under uncultured bacterium. RNAcentral's name for it is "bacterial SSU rRNA". It matches the Rfam family "Bacterial small subunit ribosomal RNA", at positions 9 to 825 of the family's 1533-position model. The record is from RNAcentral.